RNAcentral lists this ribosomal RNA (450 nucleotides) under uncultured bacterium. Its description in RNAcentral is "partial 16S ribosomal RNA". It matches the Rfam family "Bacterial small subunit ribosomal RNA", at positions 330 to 793 of the family's 1533-position model. The record is from RNAcentral.
UCCAGACUCCUACGGGAGGCAGCAGUGGGGAAUAUUGCACAAUGGGGGGAACCCUGAUGCAGCGACGCCGCGUGGGCGAGGAAGUAUUUCGGUAUGUAAAGCCCUAUCGGCAGGGAAGAAGAAAUGACGGUACCUGAAUAAGAAGCACCGGCUAAAUACGUGCCAGCAGCCGCGGUAGUACGUAUGGUGCAAGCGUUAUCCGGAUUUACUGGGCGUAAAGGGAGCGCAGGCGGCGCGCCAAGUCUGAUGUGAAACCCCGGGGCUCAACCCCGGGACUGCUCUUGGAACUGCGCGGCUGGAGUGCAGGAGGGGCAGGCGGAAUUCCUGGUGUAGCGGUGAAAUGCGUAGAUAUCAGGAGGAACACCGGUGGCGAAGGCGGCCUGCUGGACUGCGACUGACGUUGAGGCCCGAAAGCGUGGGGAGCAAACAGGAUUAGAUACCCCGGUAAAA